AGUGAACGCUGGCGGUAGGCCUAACACAUGCAAGUCGAACGGCAGCACAGUAAGAGCUUGCUCUUACGGGUGGCGAGUGGCGGACGGGUGAGGAAUACAUCGGAAUCUACUUUUUCGUGGGGGAUAACGUAGGGAAACUUACGCUAAUACCGCAUACGACCUACGGGUGAAAGCAGGGGAUCUUCGGACCUUGCGCGAUUGAAUGAGCCGAUGUCGGAUUAGCUAGUUGGCGGGGUAAAGGCCCACCAAGGCGACGAUCCGUAGCUGGUCUGAGAGGAUGAUAAGCCAAAAUGGAACUGAGACACGGUCCAGACUACUACGGGAGGCAGCAGUGGGGAAUAUUGGACAAGGGGAGCAAGCCUGAUCCAGACAUACCGCGUGGGUGAAGAAGGCCUUCGGGUUGUAAAGCCCUUUUGUUGGGAAAGAAAAGCAGCAGGUUAAUACCCCGCUGUUCUGACGGUACCCAAAGAAUAAGCACCGGCUAACUUCGUG
RNAcentral lists this ribosomal RNA (492 nucleotides) under uncultured bacterium. RNAcentral describes it as "partial 16S ribosomal RNA". It matches the Rfam family "Bacterial small subunit ribosomal RNA", at positions 29 to 507 of the family's 1533-position model. The record is from RNAcentral.